ACGCUCGACACCUACGAGAGGCAGCAGUGGGGAAUAUUGGGCAAUGGGCGCAAGCCUGACCCAGCAACGCCGCGUGAAGGAAGAAGGCUCUCGGGUUGUAAACUUCUUUUGUCAGGGACGAAGCAAGUGACGGUACCUGACGAAUAAGCCACGGCUAACUACGUGCAGCAGCCGCGGUAAUCUGAGCGGGCUGGCAAGGC
This 200-nucleotide ribosomal RNA is filed under the name uncultured bacterium. Its description in RNAcentral is "partial 16S ribosomal RNA". It matches the Rfam family "Bacterial small subunit ribosomal RNA", at positions 328 to 539 of the family's 1533-position model. The record is from RNAcentral.